This 208-nucleotide long non-coding RNA is filed under the name Musa acuminata (dwarf banana). RNAcentral's name for it is "long non-coding RNA (MACU_LNC010683)". The record is from RNAcentral. Lineage: Eukaryota; Viridiplantae; Streptophyta; Magnoliopsida; Zingiberales; Musaceae.
UGCGAUAUAGAUAUAUAUUAAAUAUGUAUAUGUGUGGCAUGUCAUAUUAGGAGACCAAAUCAUAGAAACCCCUCGCUAGAUAAUAUUAAGUCGGUAAAUGUGAGGCAAUUAGAUUGACUCACGUGGGCUUCCAUCGGUAUAGGUAGGGAUCGAUUCCCGGUAUAGGUUGAGUUAGUCGAGUCCCUCGAGGCUCACCUAUAUCGCAAUU